This 497-nucleotide ribosomal RNA is filed under the name uncultured bacterium. RNAcentral describes it as "partial 16S ribosomal RNA". It matches the Rfam family "Bacterial small subunit ribosomal RNA", at positions 28 to 507 of the family's 1533-position model. The record is from RNAcentral.
GAUGAACGCUGGCGGCGUGCCUAAUACAUGCAAGUCGAGCGAACAGACGAGGAGCUUGCUCCUCUGACGUUAGCGGCGGACGGGUGAGUAACACGUGGAUAACCUACCUAUAAGACUGGGAUAACUUCGGGAAACCGGAGCUAAUACCGGAUAAUAUAUUGAACCGCAUGGUUCAAUAGUGAAAGACGGUUUUGCUGUCACUUAUAGAUGGAUCCGCGCCGCAUUAGCUAGUUGGUAAGGUAACGGCUUACCAAGGCAACGAUGCGUAGCCGACCUGACAGGGUGAUCGGCCACACGGGAACGGAGACACGGUCCAGACGCCUACGGGAGGCAGCAGUAGGGAAUCCUCCGCAAUGGGCGAAAGCCUGACGGAGCAACGCCGCGUGAGUGAUGAAGGUCUUCGGAUCGUAAAACUCUGUUAUUAGGGAAGAACAAAUGUGUAAGUAACUAUGCACGUCUUGACGGUACCUAAUCAGAAAGCCACGGCUAACUACGUG